GUGUCUCAGUGGAACAAGGCAGUGAGGUCUCAUCAACUUCCACCAUGUUGUCACAGGGGUAUAGGAUACUGGAAUACCCUGGAGCCCCUCUUCCAAAAGCUUGUGUGGCUUUUGAGCCAUGGACUGAUUGGAUUCUGAUCAUCUGUCUUUGGUUUUGAAGUUCCUAAUUCCCAGGCGUGCGUUUUCCUACUACUGCUCCUGUGUCUGUAAAAUGGCAUGGCCCAUGGGAACUACAUCACAGGCUUCAAGGGGACCAAGACUGAAGAGGUGGUGGGAGAUACCUCUCUUAACUUCAGACCUUUGGAGGCCUAAGUGUGAUCACUGGAGUCUCAGGAGAGGAGACGGGACUUUUGUUGCACCCUUAAAUCAUAACCCAAGCCAGAUUAUGGGACUGGUCACAAUUUGGAGGGUGCAGCAUCUCUGCAAUGACUUACACAUGGAGUUUGGCCAUCCAGAACACCUCAGUGUUAGCAUUUGGGUGUUAUGUGACAUAGAUUUAAGUGUCUUGCUCGUUGCUGAGACUUGUGAGAGGUGGGGUGGCAGUCCCAGCAGGGCUGCUGUUAUUCUGUCCUUCUUGGUGUGUGGUGUCUCAUUUGAGCCUCUCAUCACCUGCAUUACCAGCACGCUUCCUCGCCAGUCCCUGCCAGAGAGGCUGCACCGGCUUGAUGCCAAGACCCCACCAAAGUACAAAAGUUCGUUCAAAGUCCAAGGCACAUUGCAGCUGGCUCUCCAGCAGACAACACCCUGGGCUAGUGGAGGAACUGGCUGUAGCCUCCAUCCUCAGCCCUGGCUGCUCCGGCUCCAGUGGGUGCCAGAUGGCCUCGGGCUGGGCUGCCUGAGCUCACUGCCUGACCUCACCAGGGCGGUGGUCUCAGCAGUGACCCCAGCACAGGCACAGCGCGUGGGCCGCUCUCUGACCACCCCAGCAGGGCUGGGGGCCGGUCACCACCACGCUGGGGGCUGUGCCUGGGACGGGAAU
This is a long non-coding RNA of Zonotrichia leucophrys gambelii, 979 nucleotides long. RefSeq lists it as uncharacterized. NCBI's taxonomy places the organism in Eukaryota, Metazoa, Chordata, Aves, Passeriformes, Passerellidae. The record is from RefSeq and is a predicted model, not a curated record. The transcript is spliced from 2 exons.